RNA transcript from Aquila chrysaetos chrysaetos, 2872 nucleotides. It is a transcript of the gene named lamin-L(III)-like, with no coding region annotated. NCBI's taxonomy places the organism in Eukaryota, Metazoa, Chordata, Aves, Accipitriformes, Accipitridae. The transcript has 13 exons. The record is from RefSeq and is a predicted model, not a curated record.
AUCACUGCAGCUGUCACGCAUCUUCCUAAAUCUGGGAUUUUUUUUGCCACCCCGACCCCCCGCGUGGGUUUGUAAAAACGCCGGGCUGCGGUAGGCUUCUCCUGACAGCUCCUUCCCCGCCCUCUCCGGGCAGCACCACUGGGCCGCCCAUGAAGCGCGGCAAGGCACGUGUCAAAAAACGAAGCAAAAGAAGAAAGUAUCUUUCCUACACGGAGCCGCCGGGGGAGCAGCCCUAGCCCUUUAAGCUGCCCACCCUCGCCGGCAAGGCCGCGGCGGCAGCUGGCGGCUAUUUAUACGCGGGCGGCGGCGAGCGCCGGGCGUCUUGCGCGGGGCGGUCCCGGUAGCAGCGGCGGGGCUCGGGCCCGGGCCCGGGCCGGAGGCUGCCAUGGACACGGUUUUCACCUCCACGCCGGCGAGCGGGAGCCGCUCCCUCGGCCGCUCCUCCGCCGAGUCGCCCCUAAGCCCGAUGCGGCUGAGCCGGCUGCAGGAGAAGGAGGAGCUGCGGGAGCUCAACGACCGCCUGGCCGCCUACAUCGAGCGGGCGCGGGCGCUGGAGACCGACAAGUCGGCGCUGCAGCAGCGGCUGGCCGAGCAGGAGGCGGGCAGCCACCGGGAGCUGGACAGCCUGCGGCUCUGCUACGAGGCGGAGCUAGCCGACGCCCGCCGGGCGCUGGACAACAUCGCCAUGGAGCGGGCCAAGCUGCAGGUGGAGCUGGGCAAUAUCGGCGAGGAGCACCGGCAGCUGCACAGCAGGAAUUCAAAAAAGGAAGCUGAUUUAAACCUGGCACAGGCUCGUAUCAGAGACCUUGAUGCUCAGCUGAACGCAAAGGAAGCUGACUUAGCAAGAGCUUUGAAUGAGAACCGAAGUCUGGGGGUUGGCCUUCAUGAAUUAAAGGAUCAAGUAGUCACACUGAAGCUGUCACUGGAAGAUACCAAAAAGCAUCUCCACAGUGAAAUGUUGAGGAGGGUGGACCUGGAAAAUCAUAUGAAAACUUUGCAGGAACAAAUGACAUUCCAGAAGCGUCUUCACGAAGAUGAGCUCAAGGAGGCAAAAAGAGUCCACGAGAGCAGGAUAGCAGAAAUAGAAUCUGGCCGUCGGAGAGAAUUUGAGAGUAAGCUCUUGGAUGCUCUGCAGGGGCUCAGAAAACAACAGGAAGAACAAAUUAAAGGAUAUAAAGAGGAGCUGGAACGAACAUUCAGUGCAAAAAUGGAGAAUGCCCAGCUAUCUGCAGCAAGAAAUAGUGACUUUGCCAAUGCUGCUCGGGAGGAACUGAUGGAAACAAAGUUGAGAGUUGAUACUUUGACAUCUCAAGUUAAUCAAUAUCAAAGCCAGAAUGUUGCUUUGGAGAACAGAAUAAAGGAGCUACAGGAGAUGCUGGAUUAUGAUCGUGAUCUCUAUCGAAGGCAUAUGGCUGAAAAAGAGAAAGAAAUAGAACAAGCCCAGCAGCAGACACAAGCACAGUUGGAAGAAUAUGAGCAUCUCUUAGAUGUGAAACUGGCUCUAGAUCUGGAAAUAAGUAGCUACAGAAAGAUGCUGGAGGGAGAGGAACAGAGGCUAAAGCUGUCACCCAGUCAAUCUUCACACAGCACUGCAACUCAAGCAACAAGUCAAGGGCGACGGUUCCUACAUGCGAAGAAAAGGAAAAUGAAAGAAGCUAAAGAGAGAGGCCAUAGUGCUGGAUUUAAGACUGUUCAUCAUGCUUCAUCUUCUGGAAAUGUAUCUAUUGAAGAAAUUGAUGCAGCUGGGAAAUUUGUCAGGCUUAAAAACAACUCUUAUGAGGAUCAACCACUACAUGGAUGGGUGUUAAGACGACAUCUUGGAAGUGUGUCAGAUGUAACAUACAAAUUUCCUUCGCUGUUCACUCUUCAGGCAGGCCAAGUAGUUACAAUCUGGGGUGCAGCUGCUGGUGUAAGCCCAGGUCCUAGUGAUCUGGUCUGGAAGUCUCAGAUGUCUUGGGGAACUGGGGAUAGUAUUGGUGUUACACUCAUCACAGCUGAUGGUGAGGAACUUGCAGAGAGGAAGAUAAUGCAUGUACCCAGAGCAGAAGAAAGCAGUGAGCAAGAUGAUGAUUAUGAAGAAAUAACUGGGAGCGACAUAGAGUUUCCAUCUCGGACUAAAAGAAGAAGAAAAAAGAAAUGUUGUUUGGUUUCAUGAUAGUGGUUCCUGUGAGCACCCUUAAGCAGCAACUUUACAAUAAAGUUGUGUGUCAUUUAUGCAAAAUGAGGAUCCUAGCUGUUAUAUCAUGUAAUGUGGACAAAGAGAUGAUAAUCUGAAAAAACUUCUCAAUACCAGGUGACAUAGACUAUAUAUGUUUUGGUAUCUUCUGCAAUAUCUGAAACUUGGAAUUCACAUCUCCUAUUUGACCUCUUUGUAAGAAACACUGUCCAUAACGUGAUGAAAUUUCCUACCUUCUGAUACUGGACCCUGUCCUUGGAUUCACUGAUAGAAAGAGCAGUAGAAUAUAAGCUCCAUGUGAAGUUAUUUUUACUUUAACACAAGGAUCUGGUUUUCAUGACCUGCUGAAACAGAGGAGAGUACACAGUUUACAAAGCUUAUAAACAUAUGCCCUAGAAGGAUGCUAAAUACUUGACAAUGAGCAUGAGGCUGCCUCAGCUUUCUCAAUAUUCCAAUAUGGUGUUUCUCCAAAGGCAAUUUCUGUUUCAAGCCUGAGUAGGGAAACUACAUGGGCCAGAUCACACCCUAGCUUGCACCUUGAGCAAGUCUGAACUUGGCAGAAGUAAAACACUAUCCUGAAGAGUGCUGAGUGUCUGAAAUGUUUCCUGCUCGGAUCCUGAUGCUGUAAUAUAUGAAACUGGUCUAGAUCACUUGCUAGAGAGAGACAUUUUAAAAUUAAAAGCAAGUUGUAAAAAU